This 330-nucleotide unclassified non-coding RNA is filed under the name soil metagenome. RNAcentral's name for it is "partial contains 5.8S ribosomal RNA, internal transcribed spacer 2, and large subunit ribosomal RNA". The stretch from base 1 to 121 matches the Rfam family "5.8S ribosomal RNA", at positions 35 to 154 of the family's 154-position model. The record is from RNAcentral.
GAUGAAGAACGCAGUGAAAUGCGAUAAGUAAUGCGAAUUGCAGAAUUCCAGUGAGUCAUCGAAUCUUUGAACGCACAUUGCGCCCUUUGGCAUUCCGAGGGGCAUGCCUGUUCGAGCGUCAUUAUAACCCCUCAAGCUCAGCUUGGUGUUGGGGCCUGCUGCACUGGCAGCCCUUAAAAUCAGUGGCGGCGCCAUCUGGCUCUAAGCGUAGUAAUUCUUCUCGCUAUGGAGUCCUGGUGGAUGCUUGCCAUCAACCCCCAAUUUUUCUAUGGUUGACCUCGGAUCAGGUAGGGAUACCCGCUGAACUUAAGCAUAUCAAUAAGCGGAGGA